GACGAACGCUGGCGGCGUGCCUAACACAUGCAAGUUGAGCGACGAACCAGGGCUUGCCCCGGGGCAAAGCAGCGAACGGGUGAGUAACACGUGGGUACCCUACCCCGAUAACCGGGACAACCCGAGGAAACUCGGGCUAAUACCGGAUGUGCUCACUGGACUUCGGUUCAGUGCGUAAAGGAAGCUUCGGCCUCCGUAUCGGGAGGGGCCCGCGGCCCAUUAGUUUGUUGGUGAGGUAACGGCUCACCAAGACCGCGAUGGGUAGCUGGUCUGAGAGGACGAUCAGCCACACUGGGACUGAGACACGGCCCAGACUCCUACGGGAGGCAGCAGUGGGGAAUCUUGCGCAAUGCGCGAAAGCGUGACGCAGCAACGCCGCGUGGGGGAAGAAGGCCCUCGGGUUGUAAACCCCUUUCAGGAGGGACGAAGGUUCGGCAGUUAACAGCUGUCCGGACUGACGGUACCUCCACAAGAAGCCCCGGCUAACUACGUGCCAGCCGCCGCCGUAA
Molecule: ribosomal RNA, 509 nt
Filed under: uncultured bacterium
Lineage: Bacteria
Description: partial 16S ribosomal RNA
Rfam family: Bacterial small subunit ribosomal RNA
Source: RNAcentral